UGUCCAUGAGGUAUCUGAGCCUCCUGCCUGGCCCAGAUGCCGUGUGACCUGCUAUGACUCACUGGAUCGAGGACACUGGUGUCAGUAGCAUGAAGCUGAAUUCCAGCGGGCUGAGGGUCCUGGUGACAGGGGCAGGGAAAGGGAAUGGACAGCGUACUGUGAAGGCCCUGCAUGCCUCAGGAGCCAAAGUGGUGGCUUUGACUCGGACCAACGCAGACCUGGUCAGCCUUUCAAAGAGGUAAGGCACAGAGACUGCCAUGGCUGGGGCCUGUUCUCCACCCUC
RNAcentral lists this long non-coding RNA (283 nucleotides) under Mus spicilegus (steppe mouse). RNAcentral's name for it is "lncRNA (ENSMSIG00000025206.1)". The record is from RNAcentral. Lineage: Eukaryota; Metazoa; Chordata; Mammalia; Rodentia; Muridae.